RNAcentral lists this ribosomal RNA (253 nucleotides) under uncultured bacterium. RNAcentral describes it as "partial 16S ribosomal RNA". It matches the Rfam family "Bacterial small subunit ribosomal RNA", at positions 524 to 776 of the family's 1533-position model. The record is from RNAcentral.
UACGAAGGGGGCUAGCGUUGCUCGGAAUGACUGGGCGUAAAGAGCUCGUAGGCGGUUUGUCGCGUCUGCUGUGAAAUCUGGAGGCUCAACCUCCAGCCUGCAGUGGGUACGGGCAGACUAGAGUGCGGUAGGGGAGAUUGGAACUCCUGGUGUAGCGGUGGAAUGCGCAGAUAUCAGGAAGAACACCGAUGGCGAAGGCAGAUCUCUGGGCCGUAACUGACGCUGAGGAGCGAAAGCAUGGGGAGCGAACAGG